GGAAGGUUGUCCGAGCUGGCCGAAGGAGCACGCCUGGAAAGUGUGUAGGCAUCACAAGCGUCUCAAGGGUUCGAAUCCCUUACCUUCCG
RNAcentral lists this transfer RNA (89 nucleotides) under Staphylococcus aureus. RNAcentral describes it as "tRNA-Ser". It matches the Rfam family "tRNA". Rfam says of the family: Transfer RNA (tRNA) molecules are approximately 80 nucleotides in length. The record is from RNAcentral. Lineage: Bacteria; Bacillati; Bacillota; Bacilli; Caryophanales; Staphylococcaceae.